This 137-nucleotide ribosomal RNA is filed under the name uncultured eukaryote. RNAcentral's name for it is "partial 18S ribosomal RNA". It matches the Rfam family "Eukaryotic small subunit ribosomal RNA", at positions 1299 to 1458 of the family's 1831-position model. The record is from RNAcentral.
UGGUGGAGUGAUUUGUCUGGUUAAUUCCGAUAACGAACGAGACCUUAACCUGCUAAAUAGCCAGGCCGGCUUUGGCUGGUCGCGGGCUUCUUAGAGGGACUAUCGGCUCAAGCCGAUGGAAGUUUGAGGCAAUAACA